AUGGCUGGAGAAGAAGGUGAGACGGGGGCGGCGGCGAUCCCUCUGCUGGCGCCGUAUAGGGCGGGCAGCGGCGAGCUGGAGCUGGCGCACAGGGUGGUGCUGGCGCCGCUGACGAGGCAGCGGUCCCCGGGGAACCUCCCGCAGCCGCACGCCGCCGUCUACUACGCGCAGCGCGCGACGGCCGGCGGGAUGCUCAUCACGGAGGCCACAGGCGUGUCCGCCGCGGCGCAGGGCCACCGGCCCACCCCGGGCGUCUGGACGGACGAGCAGGUGGACGCGUGGCGGCCCGUCGUCGACGCCGUGCACGCCAAGGGCGCGGUCAUCUUCUGCCAGCUCUGGCACGUCGGGCGCGUCGUGGGCAAGCUCCGGCCGGACGGGACGCCCGCGGGGACGCCGCGGCCGGUGUCCAGCACCGGCAGGCCGAUCGCCACUCCGCGGAUGAACGACGGCGUCGAGGAGGAGUUCGCGACGCCCAGACGGCUGGAUGUGGCGGAGAUCGCCGGCGUCGUCGACGACUUCAGGAGGGCAGCAAGGAACGCCGUCGACGCCGGGUUCGACGGCGUGGAGAUCCAUGGCGCGCACGGGUACCUCGUGGAGCAGUUCCUCAAGGACAGUGCCAACGACCGCGACGACGAGUAUGGCGGCAGCCUCGAGAACCGGUGCCGCUUCGCGCUCGAGGUGGUCACCGCCGUGGCUAGGGAGAUCGGCGGCCGCCGUGUGGGCGUCCGCCUCUCGCCCUUUGCCGACUACAUGGACUGCCACGACUCCGACCCGCACGCCCUUGCGCUCCACAUGGCCACCAAGCUCAAUGGCAUCCCCGGCGGCAUCCUCUACCUCCACAUGGUGGAGCCAAGGAUGGCACGCGCCGAUGGUCGGCGGGUGGUACCGAAGAGGCUGCGGCCGUACCGGGAGGCGUUUGGCGGGACAUUCAUCGCUGCCGGCGGAUACGACCGGGAGGAGGGGAAUAAGGUGGUCGGAGAGGGGUACGCCGACCUAGUGGCAUUUGGGCGGCUUUUCCUAGCCAACCCGGACCUUCCGAAGAGGUUUGAGUUCGACGCGAAGCUCAACGGGUACAACAGGGCCACCUUCUACACCUCCGACCCUGUUGUUGGCUACACCGACUAUCCAUUUUUGGGCUGA
This 1140-nucleotide ribosomal RNA is filed under the name Triticum aestivum (bread wheat). RNAcentral describes it as "partial small subunit ribosomal RNA". Lineage: Eukaryota; Viridiplantae; Streptophyta; Magnoliopsida; Poales; Poaceae. The record is from RNAcentral.